This 77-nucleotide transfer RNA is filed under the name Candidatus Obscuribacterales bacterium. RNAcentral's name for it is "tRNA-Leu". It matches the Rfam family "tRNA". Rfam says of the family: Transfer RNA (tRNA) molecules are approximately 80 nucleotides in length. Their secondary structure includes four short double-helical elements and three loops (D, anti-codon, and T loops). The record is from RNAcentral. Lineage: Bacteria; Bacillati; Candidatus Melainabacteria; Candidatus Obscuribacterales.
GCCCCGGUAGUCCAACCGGCAGAGACGAUGGUCUUAGAAGCCAUGCGUUGUGAGUUCGAAUCUCACCUGGGGCACCA